This 253-nucleotide ribosomal RNA is filed under the name uncultured bacterium. Its description in RNAcentral is "partial 16S ribosomal RNA". It matches the Rfam family "Bacterial small subunit ribosomal RNA", at positions 524 to 776 of the family's 1533-position model. The record is from RNAcentral.
UACGUAGGGUGCGAGCGUUGUCCGGAAUUAUUGGGCGUAAAGAGCUCGUAGGCGGUUUGUUGCGUCGGCCGUGAAAACCUGCAGCUUAACUGUGGGCCUGCGGCCGAUACGGGCAGACUUGAGUUCGGUAGGGGAGACUGGAAUUCCUGGUGUAGCGGUGAAAUGCGCAGAUAUCAGGAGGAACACCGGUGGCGAAGGCGGGUCUCUGGGCCGGACCUGACGCUGAGACGCGAAGGCGUGGGGAGCGAACGGG